UACGUAGGCAGCAAGCGUUGUUCGGAAUUACUGGGCGUAAAGAGUGUGUAGGCGGUGCUCUAAGUUUGUCGUGAAAUCUCCCGGCUUAACUGGGAGGGUGCGGCGAAAACUGGAGUGCUAGAGGGUGGGAGAGGAAAGCGGAAUUCCUGGUGUAGCGGUGAAAUGCGUAGAUAUCAGGAGGAACACCGGCGGUGUAGACGGCUUUCUGGACCGUAGCUGACGCUGAGACACGAAAGCGUGGGUAGCAAACAGG
This 253-nucleotide ribosomal RNA is filed under the name uncultured bacterium. RNAcentral describes it as "partial 16S ribosomal RNA". It matches the Rfam family "Bacterial small subunit ribosomal RNA", at positions 524 to 776 of the family's 1533-position model. The record is from RNAcentral.